This 334-nucleotide unclassified non-coding RNA is filed under the name soil metagenome. Its description in RNAcentral is "partial contains 5.8S ribosomal RNA, internal transcribed spacer 2, and large subunit ribosomal RNA". The stretch from base 1 to 120 matches the Rfam family "5.8S ribosomal RNA", at positions 35 to 154 of the family's 154-position model. The record is from RNAcentral.
GAUGAAGAACGUAGCGAAAUGCGAUAAGUAAUGUGAAUUGCAGAAUUCAGUGAAUCAUCGAAUCUUUGAACGCACAUUGCGCCCCCCAGUAUUCUGGCGGGCAUGCCUGUUCGAGCGUCAUUUCAACCAUCAAGCCCUGCUUGUGUUGGGGUCCUGCGGCUGCCCGCAGGCCCUGAAAACCAGUGGCGGGCUCGCUAGUCACACCGAGCGCAGUAGCACAUCUCGCUCAGAGCGUGCGGCGGGCUCCAGCCGUUAAAGCACCCACCUUUCGCAAGGUUGACCUCGGAUCAGGUAGGAAUACCCGCUGAACUUAAGCAUAUCAAUAAGCGGAGGA